RNAcentral lists this unclassified non-coding RNA (1012 nucleotides) under Hevea brasiliensis (rubber tree). Lineage: Eukaryota; Viridiplantae; Streptophyta; Magnoliopsida; Malpighiales; Euphorbiaceae. The record is from RNAcentral.
GCAGUUGCAUCAUUCAGCUUCUUAGCAAUAACUGGCCUUUUGUUGGGAAGUACACCCUUAAAAACAGUGGGGCCAAGUUGAUCUGCAAAAUUGCCAGUUAGCUCUUUUAUCUCUUCAAAGGAUAACCCGACAAGUACACUGUAAUGAGCAUUCAUUUGAGCAUCCUUGUUAAAGGGAAUUCUUGCCUGAGCCUUAAUUUUCCGUCUACGGUACACAAACCAAAACACAAAUGUCUCAAAGGUCAGCAAACCUGAGACUGUAACGAAAACUACCAAGGCAACAGCUCCCACAAACUUCUUGUUGUCACCUUCACGGUCAAUGAAUCCUUUAGACAAUGUAGGAAUUGGCUUGGGGUUAAAAUGAGGAUCAGAUUGUUGAGCUGAAACAGCCUGAGGGACCAAACACACUUUUAAGAAUGAAGUAGCAGGAACAGAAGGGUUCCUAUACCCACUAAUAAAGCUAGUUCGUUUGAUUGUAGAUAUACCUGAACCAUCAUUUUUUGAAGUUGCUGCAAUGCAGGUAGGGUCAUUAGAGCAGUAUUCUUUGCACUUUUUCUCAUUUAGCAUCAUAUGAACAUCUUGAGGUGGAUAAAGCCCAUAUAAAACUGACUGCUUCAUAUCCACCAUGCUUGUAUUCAUCUUGCAGUUGCUCAAAUCCACCAUCUUCUUGCAUCCAAAACCACCUGAAUCCAUUGUGACAAAGGAAGCUCCCCAGUUCGAUGAAUCCUGGUAAAGACAAUCACAGACAGGUCCUGUUGAAUUAAACCCGCAUAAUCCAUACAAACCACAAGAACCAAACACAUCACAUUGGUUCCCAACUGCUUGCCACGCUAUUUUCCAUUCAUGAAGCACAUUGUCCCAUGAAUAUAUUCUCAAGUUCCCGUCAGAAUCCAUCCUAAGAUGCCUCAAAGUGACAGAAGGGUCUUUGAAAUCAUUGCUUGAUGUCGACCAAACAGUUCUAUUAGUACCAUCUAUUAGCCUCAAAAACCAAUCAGCAUCAAAUCUUGCUUCCU